RNAcentral lists this ribosomal RNA (540 nucleotides) under Trachyleberididae sp. XMUB7639. RNAcentral describes it as "partial large subunit ribosomal RNA". It matches the Rfam family "Eukaryotic large subunit ribosomal RNA", at positions 1453 to 1940 of the family's 3401-position model. The record is from RNAcentral. Lineage: Eukaryota; Metazoa; Arthropoda; Ostracoda; Podocopida; Trachyleberididae.
GGUGGUAGUAGCAAAUACUUGAGUGAGAUCCUCAAGGACUGACGUGGAGAAGGGUUCCAUGUGAACAGCACUUGUACAUGGGUGAGUCGAUCCUAAGCCGUAGGCGAAAGCCGCCCCUAGACACGUCGGCCAUCAAUCAUUUGUAUGGGGCCCGUCGGGGUCAGGCGAAAGGGAAUCCGGUACUUAUUCCGGAACUCAGAUGUGGGGGUUGUUGUGGCAUUCUCUGUCACCUAGUCGUAAGACAAGUACCAACCUGGAGAAUCCGACCGGAGGGCCGGGAAGAGUUGUCUUUUCUGGUUAACGGGAUCGAUGGCCUUGUGAAUCGGGUCGCUCGGAGAGAGGGUCUUAUCCCGAAAGAGCGCCGCGUUUCUUGCGGCGUCCGCGCUGCUCCGGUCUGGAACUUGAAAAUCCAGGGGGAGGGUUCCGCACCUUCACACUGAUUCGUACCCAUAUCCGCAUCCGGUCUCCGAGGUGAACAGCCUCUAUCCGAUAGAUUAAUGUAGGUAAGGGAAGUCGGCAAGUCAGAUCCGUAACUUCGGG